RNAcentral lists this ribosomal RNA (398 nucleotides) under uncultured bacterium. RNAcentral's name for it is "bacterial SSU rRNA". It matches the Rfam family "Bacterial small subunit ribosomal RNA", at positions 359 to 774 of the family's 1533-position model. The record is from RNAcentral.
GAAUAUUGCACAAUGGGGGAAACCCUGAUGCAGCGACGCCGCGUGAGUGAAGAAGUAUUUCGGUAUGUAAAGCUCUAUCAGCAGGGACGAUAAUGACGGUACCUGACUAAGAAGCCCCGGCUAACUACGUGCCAGCAGCCGCGGUAAUACGUAGGGGGCAAGCGUUAUCCGGAUUUACUGGGUGUAAAGGGAGCGUAGGUGGCUGGAUAAGUCAGAUGUGAAAGCCCAGGGCUCAACCCUGGGACUGCAUUUGAAACUAUCUGGCUAGAGUGCAGGAGAGGUAAGUGGAAUUCCUAGUGUAGCGGUGAAAUGCGUAGAUAUUAGGAGGAACACCAGUGGCGAAGGCGGCUUACUGGACUGUGACUGACACUGAGGCUCGAAAGCGUGGGGAGCAAACA